This 497-nucleotide ribosomal RNA is filed under the name uncultured bacterium. Its description in RNAcentral is "partial 16S ribosomal RNA". It matches the Rfam family "Bacterial small subunit ribosomal RNA", at positions 28 to 507 of the family's 1533-position model. The record is from RNAcentral.
GAUGAACGCUGGCGGCGUGCCUAAUACAUGCAAGUCGAGCGAACGGACGAGAAGCUUGCUUCUCUGAUGUUAGCGGCGGACGGGUGAGUAACACGUGGAUAACCUACCUAUAAGACUGGGAUAACUUCGGGAAACCGGAGCUAAUACCGGAUAAUAUUUUGAACCGCAUGGUUCAAAAGUGAAAGACGGUCUUUCUGUCACUUAUAGAUGGAUCCGCGCUGCAUUAGUUAGUUGGUAAGGUAACGGCUUACCAAGGCAACGAUGCAUAGCCGACCUGAGAGGGUGAUCGGCCACACUGGAACUGAGACACGGUCCACACUCCUACGCGAGGCAGCAGUAGGGAAUCUUCCGCAAUGGGCGAAAGCCUGACGGAGCAAAGCCGCGUGAGUGAUGAAGGUCUUAGGAUCGUAAAACUAUGUUAUUAGGGAAGAACAUAUGUGUAAGUAACUGUGCACAUCUUGACGGUACCUAAUCAGAAAGCCACGGCUAACUACGUG